ACGCUAGCGGCAGCCUAACACAUGCAAGUCGAACGGUAACUUUUGGUGCUUGCACCGAAAGACGAGUGGCGAACGGGUGCGUAACGCGUAUGCAAUCUGCCUUUUACUAGGGUAUAGCCCAGAGAAAUUUGGAUUAAUCCCCUAUAAUAUCAUUUUUCCGCAUGGUUAAAUGAUUAAAGCUUCGGCGGUAAAAGAUGAGCAUGCGUCUUAUUAGUUUGUAGGUGAGGUAACGGCUCACCUAGACUACGAUAGGUAGGGGCCCUGAGAGGGGGACCCCCCACACUGGUACUGAGACACGGACCAGACUCCUACGGGAGGCAGCAGUGAGGAAUAUUGGACAAUGGACGAAAGUCUGAUCCAGCUAUGCCGCGUGCAGGAUGACGGCCCUACGGGUUGUAAACUGCUUUUAUACAGGAAGAAAUACCCCGACGUGUCGGGGCUUGACGGUACUGUAAGAAUAAGGAUCGGCUAACUCCGUGCCAGCAGCCGCGGUAAUACGGAGGAUUCGAGCGUUAUCCGGAAUCAUUGGGUUUAAAGGGUCCGUAGGCGGUUUUUUAAGUCAGAGGUGAAAUCCUGCAGCUCAACUGUAGAAUUGCCUUUGAAACUGAAAGACUUGAGUUAUUGUGAAGUGGUUAGAAUGUGUGGUGUAGCGGUGAAAUGCAUAGAUAUCACACAGAAUACCAAUUGCGAAGGCAGAUCACUAACAAUAUACUGACGCUCAGGGACGAAAGCGUGGGUAGCGAACAGGAUUAGAUACCCUGGUAGUCCACGCCGUAAACGAUGGAUACUAGCUGUAUGUCUACUUCAGGUAGAUGUGUGGCCAAGCGAAAGUGAUAAGUAUCCCACCUGGGGAGUACG
RNAcentral lists this ribosomal RNA (858 nucleotides) under uncultured Flavobacteriaceae bacterium. Its description in RNAcentral is "bacterial SSU rRNA". It matches the Rfam family "Bacterial small subunit ribosomal RNA", at positions 33 to 884 of the family's 1533-position model. The record is from RNAcentral. Lineage: Bacteria; Pseudomonadati; Bacteroidota; Flavobacteriia; Flavobacteriales; Flavobacteriaceae.